UAUCUGCAAUGUACUGCCCCUGGG
Molecule: unclassified non-coding RNA, 24 nt
Filed under: Mus musculus (house mouse)
Lineage: Eukaryota; Metazoa; Chordata; Mammalia; Rodentia; Muridae
Description: oocyte_clustered_small_RNA3143
Source: RNAcentral